CACGUAGGGGGCGAGCGUUGUCCGGAAUUACUGGGCGUAAAGAGCUCGUAGGUGGUUUGUCACGUCGUCUGUGAAAUUCCGGGGCUUAACCUCGGGCGUGCAGGCGAUACGGGCAAUACUUGAGUGCUGUAGGGGAGACUGGAAUUCCUGGUGUAGCGGUGAAAUGCGCAGAUAUCAGGAGGAACACCGAUGGCGAAGGCAGGUCUCUGGGCAGUAACUGACGCUGAGGAGCGAAAGCAUGGGUAGCGAACAGGAUUAGAUACCCCCGUA
RNAcentral lists this ribosomal RNA (270 nucleotides) under uncultured prokaryote. RNAcentral's name for it is "partial 16S ribosomal RNA". It matches the Rfam family "Bacterial small subunit ribosomal RNA", at positions 524 to 792 of the family's 1533-position model. The record is from RNAcentral.